UCCGGUUUGGCACCGGCAGUCCCCCGAGAGUCCUCAGCGCCUUGCGGCCUGUUAGCAACACGGGGCGGGGGUUGCGCUCGUUGCGGGACUUAACCCAACAUCUCACGACACGAGCUGACGACAACCAUGCAGCACCUCUGCUGGCUCCCUUGCGGGUCAGCCUCUGUUUCCAAAGGCUUACAACCAGUAGUUCAAGCCCAGGUAAGGUUCUUCGCGUUGCGUCGAAUUAAACCACAUGCUCCACCGCUUGUGCGGGCCCCCGUCAAUUCCUUUGAGUUUCAACCUUGCGGUCGUACUUCCCAGGUGGAUUACUUAAUGCGUUAGCUGCGCCACUGACCGGUAAACCGGCCAACGGCUAGCAUCCAUCGUUUACGGCGUGGACUAC
Molecule: unclassified non-coding RNA, 385 nt
Filed under: uncultured bacterium
Lineage: Bacteria
Description: contains 16S-23S intergenic spacer region
Source: RNAcentral